This 340-nucleotide ribosomal RNA is filed under the name Triticum aestivum (bread wheat). RNAcentral's name for it is "partial small subunit ribosomal RNA". Lineage: Eukaryota; Viridiplantae; Streptophyta; Magnoliopsida; Poales; Poaceae. The record is from RNAcentral.
AUGCAAGACUAUUUCGCGGAGAAUCCUACAUAUCCUCCACACCUCUUUCGGAGAAGGUACCAAAUGCGUCGAUCCCUCUUUGUGAAACUUGUUCCAGCUUGCGAGGCAAAUUGUUAGUAUUUCACUCAAAGAAGGAAUGGCGCGGGCUUAAAGGGAUUUAGUGCAUAUCAAAAAAUCUCCGCAGCUAUGCGGGUGAUUGCGUAUGGCGUUCCGGCUGACUAUGCCGAUGAGUAUCUUCGCAUUGGUGAAGAUAGCACAAUUGAGUCUGUGCGUAGAUUUGCGAAAGUGAUCGUCCGUGUCUUCUUCCUGAGUAUCUUUGGGCACCCAAUGAAGAUGACAC